Molecule: ribosomal RNA, 449 nt
Filed under: uncultured bacterium
Lineage: Bacteria
Description: partial 16S ribosomal RNA
Rfam family: Bacterial small subunit ribosomal RNA
Source: RNAcentral
AACGAACGCUGGCGGCAGGCCUAAUACAUGCAAGUCGAACGCUGUAGCAAUACAGAGUGGCAGACGGGUGAGUAACGCGUGGGAAUCUUCCUUGCAGUACGGAAUAACUCCGGGAAACCGGUGCUAAUACCGUAUACGUCCUUCGGGAGAAAGAUUUAUCGCUGCAAGAUGAGCCCGCGUCGGAUUAGCUAGUUGGUGGGGUAAAGGCCUACCAAGGCUACGAUCCGUAGCUGGUCUGAGAGGAUGAUCAGCCACACUGGGACUGAGACACGGCCCAGACUCCUACGGGAGGCAGCAGUAGGGAAUAUUGGACAAUGGGCGCAAGCCUGAUCCAGCCAUGCCGCGUGAGUGAAGAAGGCCUUGGGGUUGUAAAGCUCUUUUGGCGGGGAAGAUAAUGACGGUACCCGCAGAAUAAGCUCCGGCUAACUUCGUGCCAGCCGCCGCGGUAA